UCUCGCAGACCCGGCGAAUGGGCAAGAUCCACGUGGCCGUCUCUGCCAUCUUGAAAAUGUGUCUGUGAAAUUGUUCACCAAAAAACUCAAUUUACUUGACAAAAAUUCGUAGUUCAACAGAAACAAUAUCACAGAAUCGAUGUGCUCCUGUGUUCUGCUGCCCAACAGAGACUGCCGCUUCUCAUUUCAACUUUCAAUUUCAAGAAAAUAAUUGACGCCAAAGAUGUUGUUCACGCGCUCUAUCCAGCCCAUUCUCCGCAGCUCUUCUCCAUACGAUGGCGACUCGACUUCAGUUCUUCAUUUAAUCUGUAACUUCAUUUUAUCUGUAUGAUCUUAUGAACUA
This is a long non-coding RNA of Lineus longissimus, 343 nucleotides long. RefSeq lists it as uncharacterized. The transcript has 3 exons. The record is from RefSeq and is a predicted model, not a curated record. NCBI's taxonomy places the organism in Eukaryota, Metazoa, Nemertea, Pilidiophora, Heteronemertea, Lineidae.